Bombyx mori (domestic silkworm) is the source of this 1088-nucleotide long non-coding RNA. RefSeq lists it as uncharacterized. Lineage: Eukaryota; Metazoa; Arthropoda; Insecta; Lepidoptera; Bombycidae. The record is from RefSeq and is a predicted model, not a curated record. The transcript has 2 exons.
GUACACCGCGCCGUCCGCGCCGCACACGGGCGAGUAGCGCCAGCGCGGGCACGAGCAGCCCGAGUUGCAGUCCGCCAGCAGCCCGUCCGACCUGCGCACCGAGCGGGACCGGGUCAGGCGGCGUGACGGCACGGGCCCAAGCCAUGAGCUCGACAGAUAUAAGCCGCGCCAAUUAAGAAACGAAUCGAAAAUGGCGUCUAUGCACCUGCACUGACAGAUGGUAGGGUCAACAAAUAAAAACAAUGGAAAAAAAGGACUUUUCCUCGUUUGUGAGCGGCCAUAUUAUUUAGCACACGUGGCACAAAAAAAACGAUAACAAUAACAAAUUUAACAAAAACAACGUAAUAACGAACAACUGCAACAUAUAACAACAGAAUUUGAGAGAAAACCGAGCGCGUCGAGAUAGUGUGAGAACAAAGGCACCGUGAGUCCCGCGAAGGGGUAGUCGUCGCAGGACAGCACGAAGCAGAAGGUGAAGGCGGCCGCCACGAGGGUCGCGCCGAUGCACAGCUUGAUGAUGCCGGCGCACGCCAGCUCGAGCCGCUUCACCAGCCAGCCGCCCAGGAACGUGCCGCCGCCGCCCGCCGGGACCGUUAUCAGACCUGGGACACGCCGUGUAUAGAGGACGUAAGGAAUGUGCGGCUGGUUGCUAUCUAAGGGCGCAUUUCUUUUUUUAUUGCUUAUAUGAAUGGACAAGCUCACAGCCCACCUGGUGUUACUGGAGCCCAUAGACAUCUACAACGUAAAUGCGCCUAUAAUAUAAAUCUUUAGAUAUACGUUCUAAGGUCUCAAGUUACAACGGCUGCCCCACCCUUCAAACCGAAACGUAUUACUGCUUCACGGCAGAAACAGGCAGGGCUGUGGUACCUACCCGUGCGGACUCACAAGAGGUCCUACCACCAGUAAAAACGUGGCCCCAGAACCCAUGAACCAGACAAUACAAGUGCCAUCACCUACUACUGAAGUGGUAUUGUUUAGCAGCUGUCCCACCCUUGAAAGCUGACUGUGAGACUGCUUCACAACAGAAAUACGUUAGUAACUACCCGUACCUUACUGUUACUACCAAUAAAAUAUCCAAAUGUAUAGAA